AGAUUGAACGCUGGCGGCAGGCCUAACACAUGCAAGUCGAGCGGUAGAGAGGUGCUUGCAUCUCUUGAGAGCGGCGGACGGGUGAGUAAUGCCUAGGAAUCUGCCUAGUGGUGGGGGAUAACGUUCGGAAACGGACGCUAAUACCGCAUACGUCCUACGGGAGAAAGCGGGGGACCUUCGGGCCUCGCGCCAUUAGAUGAGCCUAGGUCGGAUUAGCUAGUUGGUGAGGUAAUGGCUCACCAAGGCGACGAUCCGUAACUGGUCUGAGAGGAUGAUCAGUCACACUGGAACUGAGACACGGUCCAGACUCCUACGGGAGCAGCGAGUGGGGAAUAUUGGACAAGUGGGG
RNAcentral lists this ribosomal RNA (349 nucleotides) under uncultured soil bacterium. RNAcentral's name for it is "bacterial SSU rRNA". It matches the Rfam family "Bacterial small subunit ribosomal RNA", at positions 26 to 377 of the family's 1533-position model. The record is from RNAcentral.